This is a long non-coding RNA of Lolium rigidum, 1316 nucleotides long. RefSeq lists it as uncharacterized. The record is from RefSeq and is a predicted model, not a curated record. Lineage: Eukaryota; Viridiplantae; Streptophyta; Magnoliopsida; Poales; Poaceae. The transcript is spliced from 3 exons.
GAUCGAUCCUGCAAGAGAAGACUGCGGCCACUGCCGUCGCGGAUCCGGUGGAGGCGGCUGGACGCGGGAUCCAGUGGCGGCUGGACGAUUGUCGUCACUGUCCUCCCGCCCCUUCCUCGUCGUAUCUCCUCCUCUUCCUACCUCAUCGCUCUGAGCUGGGCAUGCUCCGCUAGAUCCCUCUCCAGGGUAUUGGCUAGGCUCUUCCUCCACAUCACGUCUCUCCUCCACUCGUCAUCAUCUGUGUGCGGAGAUUGUGGCUGCCAAGAUGAACUCGUCGCCAACCCUGGCCGGAGGGCAUCUGUACAUCGACUCCCUCCACUCUCUUGCUUAGUUUUGUUGAUUCGUUUCUCUGCCUUCCUUUUCACAUCUUACGAAAUGGAGCCUGUGCCUGUAGCUUUGUUUAUGAGAUUCGAUCUUGUGACAUGUUUGUCCUUUUUCAGGUAUUGGCCAAGGUGUGUGGAAUGUCAUGGAAUUAAUUCCUGGGAAUCAUCUCCAGCACAAACACUCAAUGCAGAAUGUCCACAUAAUCUCUCCAUAUUUUUCUUUCUCAAGAAGGUGCACACACUAUUCUCCUCUUGCUGAAUUUUGCUUCGUUCUUCAACUGCCCUGCUCCCAAAGCUUCUCAACGCCUACAAGGUGUUUGAUUAAAAUCCAAGAAGACUAUGGGGCUCAAUUGAUCUGCGCAAGCCAUGUGAUUCACAACCAGCUUCAAUCAUCAGCAACUUCCCAUGUGUUGAAGAAAAAUAUGAGAAAAUUGUUGUUGGGAGGCAAAAAUAUUGAACCAGAGAGUGCGACAGUGAAGAACAAAAUGGUUUUUUUAAUUGAAGUACCCGUCUGAAUAGGUUGUAUUCGUGGGUGUUUUGAUAAGGAACAAGUAUUGUUGGGAGUGGAAUAUUACGAUGAAAGCAUACACUAUAGUGCGCUGAAGCCAUUCCCUUCGGUUCUGAAUUAGAGAGUGCAUCACUGAAGAAACAAAAGAAACAUGAAGUGAGUUUUAUUGAGUAUUCUGAGUUCAACACUUUGUAGUUCUAAAGUGAAAGUGGGUUAGAAUCUUCUUAAAUCAAUAUUUGCUGGUUGCAGGGAUGCAGACAUUAGUGAAGAGGGCACCGCCCUGACCAGCGUGCUCGCCAUGGGUGCCCAGAUCGCAAAAACGCGUGAGGAUUGAUGUCCUGGGCGGCCAGAGCUGAUGUCCUUGUUCAUGAUCUCGCCAUCUUCGGCACCUCUGCAGGAAAGAAGGCAAUAUUUUGGGAGUGUAUGCAGUGGAAUGGAAAUGGUAAAACUCUUCGAAAGUACUCUCUCUUGCAAAUAUCACAUGU